CAACGAGGCUUGGCUGCCUUUGGAGGAGUAUCUGCCACUGUUCUCCUGUGGGACAUUGCUUUAUACUAGGAAGGAUAUGGAGGUUAUUGGAAGUUCAUCAGGGCGUGGGGCGGAGGUUAAGCUGAAAACUUUUGCUCAGCAUUCACCAACCACUUUCCAACUUCUGCAGGGUCCUACAGACAGCAUCUUCCUUCCCUACACAGCCCUGAUUCAUCCCCAGAGCAUGUCCAUUUUGUGCACUGAAUAAUAUAGGGAGUCCUACUGAAAAAUAGUCACACUGAGGCUUUGAACUUUGAGGUUGUAAGAAGACAUUAUUCUGGGUGCAGCCUUGGAACAGAGAGCCCGCAGGCAAGCUUGGAAAGGAAUGAAGAUGGCGACAGGAGAGAG
Molecule: long non-coding RNA, 387 nt
Organism: Mauremys mutica (yellowpond turtle)
Lineage: Eukaryota; Metazoa; Chordata; Testudines; Geoemydidae
Exons: 3
Source: RefSeq, a predicted model, not a curated record